Molecule: long non-coding RNA, 227 nt
Filed under: Mytilus galloprovincialis (Mediterranean mussel)
Lineage: Eukaryota; Metazoa; Mollusca; Bivalvia; Mytilida; Mytilidae
Source: RNAcentral
AAGGUUUAAACUUGCUUUGUAAUGAUUGACAUUUGUGUGCGUUAAGAUUGAGGCUCUAGAAGGUCCUUUUACAAUUGAUUAACCGGAAUCUCAAAUAUGAUCCUUUUCUGAAUAAACGGACACCAGCCACUUAUCUUUACGUUUCUCAGUCAACAAAGGACAUAAACCUGAACAUUAUUUAUACGUCCAUAGUCAACACUAUACAUUAAUGGUAGAUGAAAACAGGA